This is a long non-coding RNA of Gordionus sp. m RMFG-2023, 200 nucleotides long. RefSeq lists it as uncharacterized. The record is from RefSeq and is a predicted model, not a curated record. The transcript is spliced from 3 exons. NCBI's taxonomy places the organism in Eukaryota, Metazoa, Nematomorpha, Gordioida, Chordodea, Parachordodidae.
UAGAAUCAUCUAACGUGGAACCGAUAAUUCAACAUUAUUGCAAGAAUGAUACUUUUAUUCCUGGGAAUAUCGAGGCGAAAAACAUACUUGAAGUAUUAGCGACAAGUAAAAUGGUUGCUAACAAGUAUAAUUGCGAGCCUAGCUCUAUGGAUUUGGAUAAUUGUUAAAUUCCUUAUUGAACAAAAUUAUUAAUCAUAAAG